This is a long non-coding RNA of Erinaceus europaeus (western European hedgehog), 537 nucleotides long. RefSeq lists it as uncharacterized. The transcript has 4 exons. The record is from RefSeq and is a predicted model, not a curated record. Lineage: Eukaryota; Metazoa; Chordata; Mammalia; Eulipotyphla; Erinaceidae.
GCCUUGGCCGCGGCGGGGCUCACAGACCUGCUCCGCAGCUGCCGCCGCUGCCGCCGCUGCCGCCAUCUUCCCUCAGCGGCCGCUGCCGCCGCCCUCCAGCCUGGGCUGCACCCCGAGCGCUUGCGCCUGCGCCCUGGAGCCUGGCGGAAAAAAGGACAGAGGCUCAGAGAUGAUGCGAUGACAGAGGCAGAGAGUAGAGCGAUGUGUCUACAGGAUACGCCGAGAGGGUAGGAGUAGAGGCAAUGCACAGCUCACAAAUCAGCCUCGAGUUCUGCUCAGCUCUGGCUUAUGGUGGUGCAGGAAAUUGAACCUGGGAUUCAUAGCCUCAGCUUCCUCUGAUCCUUUCUUCAAAAGGAUGAAGAAAAAGGUUAGUGAUUCUACAGACUUUUGUAUUUACUUUAUUAUAGUUUAUGUUGAACUACUGAUGUAUCUCUCUCCUGAUAGACUAUGAGAAAUGCUAGGGAACAGAGAGUCUAAUUUUGCCUUAUGAUUAAGACAGAGUUCUUUUUGUCACACUUGAAACCCAGUAGGUCUUUA